CGUGGAUGAUGUGGAUUAAUUCGAUGCAACGCGAAGAACCUUUACCUACCCUUGACAUGUCCGGAACUUGCCAGAGAUGGCUUGGUGCCCGAAAGGGAAUCGGAACACAGGUGCUGCAUGGCUGUCGUCAGCUCGUGUCGUGAGAUGUUGGGUUAAGUCCCGCAACGAGCGCAACCCUUAUCAUUAGUUGCUACGCAAGGGCACUCUAAUGAGACUGCCGUUGACAAAACGGAGGAAGGUGGGAUGACGUCAAAUCAUCAUGCCCCUUAUGUUCUGGGCUACACACGUGCUACAAUGGCCGGUACAGACGGAGGCGAAGCCGCGAGGCGGAGCAAAUCCGAAAAAGCCGGUCUCAGUUCGGAUUGCAGGCUGCAAUUCGCCUGCAUGAAGUCGGAAUCGCUAGUAAUCGCAGGUCAGCAUACUGCGGUGAAUACGUUCCCGGGCCUU
This 447-nucleotide ribosomal RNA is filed under the name uncultured Thiobacillus sp. RNAcentral's name for it is "bacterial SSU rRNA". It matches the Rfam family "Bacterial small subunit ribosomal RNA", at positions 931 to 1382 of the family's 1533-position model. The record is from RNAcentral. Lineage: Bacteria; Pseudomonadati; Pseudomonadota; Betaproteobacteria; Nitrosomonadales; Thiobacillaceae.